This 497-nucleotide ribosomal RNA is filed under the name uncultured bacterium. Its description in RNAcentral is "partial 16S ribosomal RNA". It matches the Rfam family "Bacterial small subunit ribosomal RNA", at positions 28 to 507 of the family's 1533-position model. The record is from RNAcentral.
GAUGAACGCUGGCGGCGUGCCUAAUACAUGCAAGUCGAGCGAACGGACGAGAAGCUUGCUUCUCUGAUGUUAGCGGCGGACGGGUGAGUAACACGUGGAUAACCUACCUAUAAGACUGGGAUAACUUCGGGAAACCGGAGCUAAUACCGGAUAAUAUUUUGAACCGCAUGGUUCAAAAGUGAAAGACGGUCUUGCUGUCACUUAUAGAUGGAUCCGCGCUGCAUUAGCUAGUUGGUAAGGUAACGGCUUACCAAGGCAACGAUGCAUAGCCGACCUGAGAGGGUGACCGGCCACACUGGAACUGAGACACGGUCCAGACUCCUACGGGAGGCAGCAGUAGGGAAUCUUCCGCAAUGGGCGAAAGCCUGACGGAGCAACGCCGCGUGAGUGAUGAAGGUCUUCGGAUCGUAAAACUCUGUUAUUAGGGAAGAACAUAUGUGUAAGUAACUGUGCACAUCUUGACGGUACCUAAUCAGAAAGCCACGGCUAACUACGUA